Molecule: ribosomal RNA, 440 nt
Filed under: uncultured bacterium
Lineage: Bacteria
Description: partial 16S ribosomal RNA
Rfam family: Bacterial small subunit ribosomal RNA
Source: RNAcentral
CCUACGGGAGGCAGCAGUGGGGAAUAUUGCACAAUGGGGGAAACCCUGAUGCAGCGAUGCCGCGUGAGUGAAGAAGGCUUUCGGAUUGUAAAGUUCUUUUAUCAGGGACGAUAAUGACGGUACCUGAAGAAAAAGCUCCGGCUAACUACGUGCCAGCAGCCGCGGUAAUACGUAGGGAGCGAGCGUUGUCCGGAUUUACUGGGUGUAAAGGGAGAGUAGGCGGGUCGGCAAGUCUGAUGUGAAAACUGAGGGCUCAACCUUCGGACUGCAUUUGAAACUGCGGAUCUUGAGUGCAGUAGAGGGAAGCGGAAUUCCUAGUGUAGCGGUGAAAUGCGUAGAUAUUAGGAGGAACAUCGGUGGCGAAGGCGGCUUACUGGGCUUUUACUGACGCUGAGGCUCGAAAGCGUGGGGAGCAAACAGGAUUAGAUACCCCUGUAGUC